This 788-nucleotide ribosomal RNA is filed under the name uncultured bacterium. RNAcentral describes it as "bacterial SSU rRNA". It matches the Rfam family "Bacterial small subunit ribosomal RNA", at positions 117 to 908 of the family's 1533-position model. The record is from RNAcentral.
GUAUAGAACCUACCUUUUACUGGAGAAUAGCCCAGAGAAAUUUGGAUUAAUGCUCCAUAGUAUCAUUUUUUGGCAUCCUUAGAUGAUUAAAGAUUUAUCGGUAAAAGAUGGCUAUGCGUUCUAUUAGCUAGUUGGUAUGGUAACGGCAUACCAAGGCGACGAUAGAUAGGGGUCCUGAGAGGGAGAUCCCCCACACUGGUACUGAGACACGGACCAGACUCCUACGGGAGGCAGCAGUGAGGAAUAUUGGACAAUGGAGGCAACUCUGAUCCAGCCAUGCCGCGUGUAGGAAGACUGCCCUAUGGGUUGUAAACUACUUUUAUAGAGGAAGAAACCGCUCUACGUGUAGAGCUCUGACGGUACUCUACGAAUAAGGAUCGGCUAACUCCGUGCCAGCAGCCGCGGUAAUACGGAGGAUCCAAGCGUUAUCCGGAAUCAUUGGGUUUAAAGGGUCCGUAGCGGGUUUGUAAGUCAGUGGUGAAAGUUUUCGGCUCAACCGGAAAAUUGCCAUUGAUACUGCAAGUCUUGAAUCGUCGUGAAGUGGUUAGAAUGUGUAGUGUAGCGGUGAAAUGCAUAGAUAUUACACAGAAUACCGAUUGCGAAGCAGAUCACUAACAAUGUAUUGACGCUAAGGGACGAAAGCGUGGGUAGCGAACAGGAUUAGAUACCCUGGUAGUCCACGCCGUAAACGAUGGUUACUAGCUGUUCGGAUUUCGGUCUGAGUGGCUAAGCGAAAGUGAUAAGUAACCCACCUGGGGAGUACGUUCGCAAGAAUGAAACUCAAAGGA